CGAACCGUGCGAACGUUGUUCGGAAUCACUGGGCUUAAAGGGCGCGUAGGUGGUUUGCCAAGUCGGGGUUGAAAUCUUUCGGCUUAACCGGAAAAGUGGCUUCGAUACUGGCAAGCUGGAGGGAGGUAGGGGCGGAUGGAACUUCCGGUGGAGCGGUGAAAUGUGUUGAUAUCGGAAGGAACGCCGGUGGCGAAAGCGAUCCGCUGGACCUCUUCUGACACUGAGGCGCGAAAGCCAGGGGAGCAAACGGGAUUAGAUACCCCGGUAGUCCUGGCCCUAAACGAUGGGUACUGAGUAGUGGACUUGCAUGGGUUCACUGCUGAAGCAAAAGUGGUAAGUACCCCGCCUGGGGAGUAUGAUCGCAAGGCUG
Molecule: ribosomal RNA, 370 nt
Filed under: uncultured organism
Description: bacterial SSU rRNA
Rfam family: Bacterial small subunit ribosomal RNA
Source: RNAcentral